UGUUCGCCAUUUAAAGUGGUACGCGAGCUGGGUUUAGAACGUCGUGAGACAGUUCGGUCCCUAUCUGCCGUGGGCGUUUGAAACUUGAGGGAAGCUGCUCCUAGUACGAGAGGACCGGAGUGGACGAUCCUCUGGUGUUCCGGUUGUCACGCCAGUGGCAUUGCCGGGUAGCUAUGAUCGGACGGGAUAACCGCUGAAAGCAUCUAAGCGGGAAGCCUCUCCCAAGAUUAGGUUUCACCAGACUCUUGAAGUCUCUGUAGGGCCGUUGAAGACUACAACGUUGAUAGGCUGGAUGUGGAAGCACAGUAAUGUGUGAAGCUAACCAGUACUAAUUGCCCGUGUGUCUUGACCAU
Molecule: ribosomal RNA, 353 nt
Filed under: Gammaproteobacteria bacterium
Lineage: Bacteria; Pseudomonadati; Pseudomonadota; Gammaproteobacteria
Description: partial 23S ribosomal RNA
Rfam family: Bacterial large subunit ribosomal RNA
Source: RNAcentral